UAGUCUCCUUUAUGGCUCUAAUCUGAUAGUGGUCAUGGGGUGGUAGAUGUCUAGUCUCCCUUAUGGCUCUAAUCUGAUAGUGGUCGUGGGGUGGUACAUGUCUAGACUCCCUUAUGGCUCUAAUCUGAUAGUGGUAGUGGGGUGGUAGAUGUCUAGUCUACUUUAUGACUCUAAUCUGAUAGUGGUAGAUGUCUAGUCUCCCUUAUGGCUCUAAUCUGAUAGUGGCAGUGGGGUGGUAGAUGUCUAGUCUCCCUUCUGGCUCUAAUCUGUUAGUGGUAGAUGUCUAGUCUCCCUUUUGGCUCUAAUCUGAUAGUGGUAGUGGGGUGGUAGAUGUCUAGUCUCCCUUCUGGCUCUAAUCUGAUACGGCUCUAAUCUGAUAGUGGUAGAUGCCUAGUCUCCCUUUUGGCUCUAAUCUGAGAGUGGUAGAUGUUUAGUAUCCCUUAUGGCUCUAAUCUGAUAGUGGUAGUGGGUUGGUAGAUGUAUAGUAUCCCUUAUGGCUCUUAUCUGAUAUUGGUAGUGGGGUGGUAGAUGUCUAGUCUCCCUUAUGGCUCUAAUCUGAUAGUGAUUGUAGGGUGGUAGAUGUCUAGGCUGCUUUAUGACUCUAAUCUGA
Oncorhynchus tshawytscha (Chinook salmon) is the source of this 610-nucleotide long non-coding RNA. Lineage: Eukaryota; Metazoa; Chordata; Actinopteri; Salmoniformes; Salmonidae. The record is from Ensembl.